CAAGGUGAGAGAUACGGAGGUAGAGCACUGAAUGUCCUAGGGGGUAUUGCACCUACCGGAGCCUAUCAAACUCCGAAUGCUGUCAUCUUAUACUCGGGGGUGAGACGGUGGGAGAUAAGAUUCAUAGUCGAAAGGGCAACAGCCCAGAUCGUCAGCUAAGGUCCCUAAAGGUAAGUUAAGUGGUAAAGGAUGUGGGAUUGCACAGACAACCAGGAUGUUGGCUUAGAAGCAGCCACUCAUUCAAAGAGUGCGUAAUAGCUCACUGGUCGAGUGAUCCUGCGCCGAAGAUUUCCGGGGCUAAAACUUACUACCGAAGC
RNAcentral lists this ribosomal RNA (317 nucleotides) under Clostridioides difficile. RNAcentral describes it as "bacterial LSU rRNA". It matches the Rfam family "Bacterial large subunit ribosomal RNA", at positions 883 to 1200 of the family's 2925-position model. Lineage: Bacteria; Bacillati; Bacillota; Clostridia; Peptostreptococcales; Peptostreptococcaceae. The record is from RNAcentral.